UACAAGAGCGACAAACUUAACCGUUUGGCCUUUGAAUAAUAAUAGUAAUAAUGAUUAUCCUACCAUUGUUUGCUUCCGACGUUUUGGCUUAAUGCAUUCUUGUCGUGAACUGGGUUGGUUUGUUUCCACUUGGUAUUGUGGUGCGCGGCGGAAGGUUUCCUCUUUGGCUAGUGGUCAAGCGUGAAGUCAUUAUGGCUUUUUGGUGAGAAAUCACUGGGUCGCUAACGUUUAUAUUUAAUGAUCUUAUGUUUAAUUGAAGUGUGUAUUAGUUGUUUUUUUUAUGGUUUGGGUGAGUUAGCAGGAGCCUAGCUUUUUGCCAAUCGGCCCGCGUUAAGCUAGGCGGCUAACUUAAGCUAAUGGGCUAACCAGCUGCAAUGCUGCCCUAUAAAAAAAAAUUGUUCUGUCAAAUUGGUUUUCAUGUAAGCUCAUUGUUGUUCUCGGGGAGAAGGGGGGGGCGGUGUUAGUUAGAUAGUGAAACUACGUUAAUAACUAAUCAGCGAUAACAAGCCAAGUGUUGAGGAUGUAAACGUUACGCCACUUAUCACGGAUCUGAUGUGUUUGAAGGAUCUUCGGAAGAGUCUGGUUGCAAAAGAGUUCUCAGAACUAUCGAUUCGUUUAGCCAACUCGUCAAACAAUGUCAAUAUCACAUUUCUGAUUGAAAUAAAUUAAUAUGUCGACGAUAAAUGAAACUAUUUUAGUCCCACUAUAAGACAUGAUCAGUGUCAUUAAUAAAUGUUAAAAAAAUAGCAAAUGCAUGAACUUUGGCCAUCACAACACAAUGUGCAAGAAAAAUGCAUUUUCAUGUAUUUUAUUUCCUGGGGGCGCAAAUGGCAUCGGUUUGGUGGAAUGACCCAUUGACAAUACCGCGAUUGCGUCAAAAUUACGUCACUUGUCAAGGUGGCGAUCAAGUCAUUUGAUUUGUGAAGAUGAUUUUGAUUUCAAAAUGUCACUGUCAUUUGACUAUAAGGACAAUCUGCAUGCAGGG
Syngnathus acus (greater pipefish) is the source of this 985-nucleotide long non-coding RNA. RefSeq lists it as uncharacterized. Lineage: Eukaryota; Metazoa; Chordata; Actinopteri; Syngnathiformes; Syngnathidae. The transcript has 2 exons. The record is from RefSeq and is a predicted model, not a curated record.